GAUGAAGAACGUAGCGAAAUGCGAUAAGUAAUGUGAAUUGCAGAAUUCCGUGAAUCAUCGAAUCUUUGAACGCACAUUGCGCCCCCUGGUAUUCCGGGGGGCAUGCCUGUUCGAGCGUCAUUGCAACCCUCAAGCUCGGCUUGUGUGAUGGACGACCGUCCGGCCCUUAGGGGCUGGACGCGCCCGAAAAGCAGUGGCUAGGCCGCGAUUCCGGCGCCUGAGCGAAUGGGACUUCCACCGCUUCUAGGACCGGCCGGCACUUGGUCUUUAACUAAAGUCCUAACGGACCUUCUAAGGUUGACCUCGGAUCAGGUAGGGAUACCCGCUGAACUUAAGCAUAUCAAUAAGCGGAGGA
This 355-nucleotide unclassified non-coding RNA is filed under the name soil metagenome. Its description in RNAcentral is "partial contains 5.8S ribosomal RNA, internal transcribed spacer 2, and large subunit ribosomal RNA". The stretch from base 1 to 120 matches the Rfam family "5.8S ribosomal RNA", at positions 35 to 154 of the family's 154-position model. The record is from RNAcentral.